Molecule: ribosomal RNA, 532 nt
Filed under: uncultured bacterium
Lineage: Bacteria
Description: bacterial SSU rRNA
Rfam family: Bacterial small subunit ribosomal RNA
Source: RNAcentral
AGAGUUUGAUCAUGGCUCAGGACGAACGCUGGCGGCGUGCUUAACACAUGCAAGUGGGGCGACGAACCAGGCUUCGGCCUGGGGCAAAGCCGCGAACGGGUGAGUAACACGUGGGUAACCUGCCCCGAAGACCGGGACAACCCGAGGAAACUCGGGCUAAUACCGGAUGUGGUCACUGCUCAUAAGUGCAGUGAGCAAAGGAAGCUUCGGCCUCCGCUUCGGGAGGGGCCCGCGGCCCAUUAGCUUGUUGGUGAGGUAACGGCUCACCAAGGCUUCGAUGGGUAGCUGGUCUGAGAGGACGAUCAGCCACACUGGGACUGAGACACGGCCCAGACUCCUACGGGAGGCAGCAGUGGGGAAUCUUGCGCAAUGCGCGAAAGCGUGACGCAGCAACGCCGCGUGGGGGAAGAAGGCCUUCGGGUCGUAAACCCCUUUCAGGAGGGACGAAGCCUCGGGAGUGAAUAGCUCUCCGGGGUGACGGUACCUCAAUAAGAAGCCCCGGCUAACUACGUGCCAGCAGCCGCGGUAAUAC